CUGAUGGAGCACGCCGCGUGAGUGAAGAAGGGUUUCGGCUCGUAAAACUCUGUUGUUAGAGAAGAACAGCCGUGAGAGCAACUGCUCACGGUAUGACGGUAUCUAACCAGAAAGUCACGGCUAACUACGUGCCAGCAGCCGCGGUAAUACGUAGGUGGCAAACGUUGUCCGGAUUUAUUGGGCGUAAAGGGAGCGCAGGCGGUUUAUUAAGUCUGAUGUGAAAGCCUUCGGCUUAACCGGAGAAGUGCAUCGGAAACUGAUAAACUUGAGUGCAGAAAAGGAUAGUGGAACUUCAUGUGUAGCGGUGAAAUGCGUAGAUAUAUGAAGGAACACCAGUGGCGAAGGCGGCUAUCUGGUCUGUAACUGACGCUGAGGCUCGAAAGCAUGGGUAGCAAACAGGAUUAGAUACCCUGGUAGUCCAUGCCGUAAACGAUGAAUGCUAGGUGUUGGAAGGUUUCCGCCUUUCAGUGCCGCAGCUAACGCAUUAAGCAUUCCGCCUGGGGAGUACGACCGCAAGGUUGAAACUCAAAGGAAUUGACGGGGACCCGCACAAGCGGUGGAGCAUGUGGUUUAAUUCGAUGCUACGCGAAGAACCUUACCAGGACUUGACAUCUUCUGCCAAUCUAAGAGAUUAGACGUUCCCUUCGGGGACAGAAUGACAGGUGGUGCAUGGUUGUCGUCAGCUCGUGUCGUGAGAUGUUGGGUUAAGUCCCGCAACGAGCGCAACCCUUGUCUUUAGUUGCCAGCAUUAAGUUGGGCACUCUAGAGAGACUGCCGGUGAUAAACCGGAGGAAGGUGGGGAUGACGUCAAAUCAUCAUGCCCCUUAUGUCCUGGGCUACACACGUGCUACAAUGGGCGAUACAACGAGUUGCGAAACCGCGAGGUCAAGCUAAUCUCUUAAAGUCGUUCUCAGUUCGGAUUGCAGUCUGCAACUCGACUGCAUGAAGUUGGAAUCGCUAGUAAUCGUGGAUCAGCAUG
Molecule: ribosomal RNA, 979 nt
Filed under: Fructilactobacillus sanfranciscensis
Lineage: Bacteria; Bacillati; Bacillota; Bacilli; Lactobacillales; Lactobacillaceae
Description: bacterial SSU rRNA
Rfam family: Bacterial small subunit ribosomal RNA
Source: RNAcentral